GGCUUAUUGAUUGAAGAUUUUAAGUCUAGCCUGCCCCCUGAUGAAUUUUAAUGGCCGCAGUAUUUUGACUGUGCUAAGGUAGCAUAAUAAUUAGUUUUUUAAUUGAAAGCUAGAAUGAAUGGUAUUAUGAAAAAAUUACUGUCUCUUUUAAAAAAUUAAAAUUUUAUUUUUAAGUUAAAAAGCUUAAAUAUAAUUAAAAGACGAGAAGACCCUAUAGAAUUUUAUUUAAAUUAAUUUUUAGUAAAUUAGUAUAUAAAAUUUAAGAAUAAGUUUAUAUUUAGUUGGGGUGAUUAGAAAAAUUAAGUAUCUUUUUUUUUAUAAUAACAUUAAUUUAUGGUUAUAUGAUUCAUGUUAAUGAUUUAAGAAUAAAUUACCUUAGGGAUAACAGCGUAAUUUUUUUUUAGAGUUCUAAUCAAAAAGAAAGAUUGCGACCUCGAUGUUGGAUUAAAAUUUAUUUUUGGUGUAGUAGCUAAAAUAUUAAGUCUGUUCGACUUUGAAAAUUUUACA
Molecule: ribosomal RNA, 507 nt
Filed under: Plateumaris pusilla
Lineage: Eukaryota; Metazoa; Arthropoda; Insecta; Coleoptera; Chrysomelidae
Description: partial 16S ribosomal RNA
Rfam family: Bacterial large subunit ribosomal RNA (bases 381-507)
Source: RNAcentral